This 324-nucleotide long non-coding RNA is filed under the name Bos taurus (domestic cattle). RNAcentral's name for it is "long non-coding RNA NONBTAT018765". Lineage: Eukaryota; Metazoa; Chordata; Mammalia; Artiodactyla; Bovidae. The record is from RNAcentral.
GGGAUUUGUAGGUUAAACUCUUCUAAGAUUUGAAAGCUCUCCUUUAUUGGUAUAGGCACAAAAAGAAUAGAGCUACCCAGUUACCAAAUCAUUACAGCACGCUUGGGCUUUGGCAAACAGCAGCUUCAGUAUGAAAUAAUCUACAUUCUCUAAAAUGGUUACACAGAAGAGUAUUUGCAAGACUCAACCUGUAAUAAAGCAAAAAAUACCCCCAGUUUUUUUAAACACCAAAAAUUAAUCUGUGUACUUUUUAUUUUAUACCCAAAUAAAUCCUUUUAUUGAAUUUGUAUACUUUAAAUGUAAAAUUUAAGUUACUAAACUAUA